Molecule: non-coding RNA, 726 nt
Organism: Schizosaccharomyces pombe (fission yeast)
Lineage: Eukaryota; Fungi; Ascomycota; Schizosaccharomycetes; Schizosaccharomycetales; Schizosaccharomycetaceae
Source: the annotation of a GenBank genome assembly
GAGGACAACGCACAUCAGCCAACAUUAGCUCAGAAUGUAGUCCAGAAGAAGAACCGGAAGCAGAUCCAGCAAGAGGACGGUUUUUAGAAGGAAUGGAAAUGGGUAUCCCACCGUCAAUGUCUUUAAAAGGAGGAGGUACCAUAACCUGCGUUUUUUCAAAGGUGAUUACUGCAUAAGGUUGUGCAUUAACACUUUUGACGUUCAAAUCUCUACCUUGAUGUAAUCGAACAUAAAGCCGUCCAAAAGCAUGCUGACCAUUUUUAUCUUUUGGCACAACGGUAUCAUGCCUAAUGUAACACGAAGAUGGAGGUGUACGACUCUGUAGUAGUUUGGGUUUUUCUGAAUAUGUACCCAUUGGUGUAAUUCCAUUGCUUUCGGAACUAUUAGAACCAGAUUCUUUAUCUUCCUUUAAGGACUAUGAUAGGUUAGCCAAGUGAACAACAAUUUAUGGAGACAGUGAUUUUUGAAAAACACAAUAAAGAAAGCUAUGGGGAAGAUUGUCUUUCAAGCAAAAAAUCAAUUAUAACAUACCUGUUCUUUGUGAAGCUGAGCUGUAAUCUCAUUGUAACGCAUCUUCAUCCGAUCCGACAUGAAAACGGGAUCAUAGCCAUUAGACGAAGCACCCUCUUUCCCUUCGUAAUCGUUUACUUUCGUAGAAUGGUCAUUGGAAAGAACCGGUUGCGUUGAAUGCGAUUGUAUUGUGGAUGGCGAUGCUUGAUUUGUAUU